This 441-nucleotide ribosomal RNA is filed under the name uncultured bacterium. Its description in RNAcentral is "partial 16S ribosomal RNA". It matches the Rfam family "Bacterial small subunit ribosomal RNA", at positions 338 to 795 of the family's 1533-position model. The record is from RNAcentral.
CCUACGGGGGGCAGCAGUGGGGGAUAUUGCACAAUGGGGGGAACCCUGAUGCAGCGACGCCGCGUGGGUGAAGGAGUGCUUCGGCAUGUAAAGCCCUAUCGGCAGGGAAGAAGCAAGACGGUACCUGACUAAGAAGCCCCGGCUAACUACGUGCCAGCAGCCGCGGUAAUACGUAGGGGGCGAGCGUUAUCCGGAUUCACUGGGUGUAAAGGGAGCGUAGGCGGCCAUGCAAGCCAGGGGUGAAAUCCCGGGGCCCAACCCCGGGACUGCCCUUGGAACUGGGCGGCUAGAGUGCGGGAGGGGCAGGCAGAAUGCCUGGUGUAGCGGUGAAAUGCGUAGAUAUCAGGAGGAACACCGACGGCGAAGGCGGCCUGCUGGACCGCGACUGACGUUGAGGCUCGAAAGCGUGGGGAGCGAACAGGAUUAGAUACCCCUGUAGUC